GGGGCCGUAAAGGUUUCGACGGGGAUUUUGAAGCCCGUUAAGCACGCAGAGUUCGCCUAAACUCUUAAAAAAUGGGUAACUUAAAAUUAAACGCAGAUAAUAGAUCUGAAUUAGUAGCUGCCUAAGUGCAGCUUCCGUCCUGCCGAUGAGUGCUGCGGCUUCGGUUUGGGCGUGACACAGCAGCCAACGUCUUGGGCAAGAGUCCUGUAGCCCCUGCCGUAACUAAAGGACUGCCGACGGAUGAUCCUGUUAAUCGGAGCAGCCGAAGGGAGAUUUAAAAGAUUGACUAAGCGUGUAGAAAGGCGAGUGGAUUGGUUUUCGGACGGGGGUUCGACUCCCCCCGGCUCCACCA
Molecule: transfer-messenger RNA, 352 nt
Filed under: Ruminococcus sp.
Lineage: Bacteria; Bacillati; Bacillota; Clostridia; Eubacteriales; Oscillospiraceae
Also listed under: 1 other name
Rfam family: transfer-messenger RNA
About the family: Bacterial tmRNA, also known as 10Sa RNA or SsrA, is named for its dual tRNA and mRNA-like properties. Its role is to liberate the mRNA from a stalled ribosome.
Source: RNAcentral